Molecule: ribosomal RNA, 484 nt
Filed under: uncultured bacterium
Lineage: Bacteria
Description: partial 16S ribosomal RNA
Rfam family: Bacterial small subunit ribosomal RNA
Source: RNAcentral
AUUGAACGCUGGCGGCAGGCCUAACACAUGCAAGUCGAGCGGAUGAAGGGAGCUUGCUCCUGGAUUCAGCGGCGGACGGGUGAGUAAUGCCUAGGAAUCUGCCUGGUAGUGGGGGAUAACGUCCGGAAACGGGCGCUAAUACCGUAUACGUCCUGAGGGAGAAAGUGGGGGAUCUUCGGACCUCACGCUAUCAGAUGAGCCUAGGUCGGAUUAGCUAGUUGGUGGGGUAAAGGCCUACCAAGGCGACGAUCCGUAACUGGUCUGAGAGGAUGAUCAGUCACACUGGAACUGAGACACGGUCCAGACCCCUACGGGAGGCAGCAGUGGGGAAUAUUGGACAAUGGGCGAAAGCCUGAUCCAGCCAUGCCGCGUGUGUGAAGAAGGUCUUCGGAUUGUAAAGCACUUUAAGUUGGGAGGAAGGGCAGUAAGUUAAUACCUUGCUGUUUUGACGUUACCAACAGAAUAAGCACCGGCUAACUUCGUG